CGUGUAGGCGGUCAGGUAAGUGGGAUGUGAAAUGCCUCGGCUCACCCGAGGCACUGCAUUCCAAACUGCUUGGCUUGAGUAUGGGAGAGGAUGAGGGAAUUCCUGGUGUAGCGGUGAAAUGCGUAGAUAUCAGGAGGAACACCGGUGGCGAAGGCGCUCAUCUGGCCCAAUACUGACGCUGAGGCGCGAAAGCUAGGGGAGCAAACGGGAUUAGAUACCCCGGUAGUCCUAGCCGUAAACGGUGAGCACUAGGUGUUGGAGGCAUCGACCCCUCCAGUGCCGCAGCUAACGCAUUAAGUGCUCCGCCUGGGGAGUACGGCCGCAAGGUUGAA
RNAcentral lists this ribosomal RNA (332 nucleotides) under uncultured bacterium. RNAcentral's name for it is "bacterial SSU rRNA". It matches the Rfam family "Bacterial small subunit ribosomal RNA", at positions 568 to 898 of the family's 1533-position model. The record is from RNAcentral.